CAGAAGAGGACAGUGGAACUCCAUGUGUAGCGGUGAAAUGCGUAGAUAUAUGGAAGAACACCAGUGGCGAAGGCGGCUGUCUGGUCUGUAACUGACGCUGAGGCUCGAAAGUAUGGGUAGCAAACAGGAUUAGAUACCCUGGUAGUCCAUACCGUAAACGAUGAAUGCUAAGUGUUGGAGGGUUUCCGCCCUUCAGUGCUGCAGCUAACGCAUUAAGCAUUCCGCCUGGGGAGUACGGCCGCAAGGCUGAAACUCAAAGGAAUUGACGGGGGCCCGCACAAGCGGUGGAGCAUGUGGUUUAAUUCGAAGCUACGCGAAGAACCUUACCAGGUCUUGACAUACUAUGCAAAUCUAAGAGAUUAGACGUUCCCUUCGGGGACAUGGAUACAGGUGGUGCAUGGUUGUCGUCAGCUCGUGUCGUGAGAUGUUGGGUUAAGUCCCGCAACGAGCGCAACCCUUAUUAUCAGUUGCCAGCAUUAAGUUGGGCACUCUGGUGAGACUGCCGGUGACAAACCGGAGGAAGGUGGGGAUGACGUCAAAUCAUCAUGCCCCUUAUGACCUGGGCUACACACGUGCUACAAUGGAUGGUACAACGAGUUGCGAACUCGCGAGAGUAAGCUAAUCUCUUAAAGCCAUUCUCAGUUCGGAUUGUAGGCUGCAACUCGCCUACAUGAAGUCGGAAUCGCUAGUAAUCGCGGAUCAGCAUGCCGCGGUGAAUACGUUCCCGGGCCUUGUACACACCGCCCGUCACACCAUGAGAGUUUGUAACACCCAAAGUCGGUGGGGUAACCUUUUAGGAACCAGCCGCCUAAGGUGGGACAGAUGAUUAGGGUGAAGUCGUAACAAGGUAGCCGUA
This 856-nucleotide ribosomal RNA is filed under the name uncultured bacterium. Its description in RNAcentral is "bacterial SSU rRNA". It matches the Rfam family "Bacterial small subunit ribosomal RNA", at positions 649 to 1504 of the family's 1533-position model. The record is from RNAcentral.